UACGGAGGGUGCAAGCGUUAUCCGGAUUCACUGGGUUUAAAGGGUGCGUAGGCGGGCAGGUAAGUCAGCGGUGGAAUCUCCGAGCUUAACCCGGAAACUGCCGUUGAUACUAUCUGUCUUGAAUAUCGUGGAGGUAAGCGGAAUAUGUCAUGUAGCGGUGAAAUGCUUAGAUAUGACAUAGAACACCCAUUGCGAAGGCAGCUUACUACACGAUCAUUGACGCUGAGGCACGAAAGCGUGGGGAGCAAACAGG
RNAcentral lists this ribosomal RNA (253 nucleotides) under uncultured bacterium. RNAcentral's name for it is "partial 16S ribosomal RNA". It matches the Rfam family "Bacterial small subunit ribosomal RNA", at positions 524 to 776 of the family's 1533-position model. The record is from RNAcentral.